This 1498-nucleotide ribosomal RNA is filed under the name uncultured rumen bacterium. RNAcentral describes it as "bacterial SSU rRNA". It matches the Rfam family "Bacterial small subunit ribosomal RNA". The record is from RNAcentral.
AGAGUUUGAUCAUGGCUCAGGACGAACGCUGGCGGCGUGCUUAACACAUGCAAGUCGAACGAGACGGAUUGAAAGCUUGCUUUUGAAAAGUCGAGUGGCAAACGGGUGAGUAACGCGUAGACAACCUGCCGCAAAGAUGGGGACAACAGUCCGAAAGGACUGCUAAUACCGAAUGUUGUCAGAUUCCCGCAUGGGAGACUGAUUAAAGAUGGCCUCUACUUGUAAGCUAUCGCUUUGUGAUGGGUCUGCGUCUGAUUAGCUAGUUGGUGGGGUAACGGCCUACCAAGGCGACGAUCAGUAGCCGGUCUGAGAGGAUGAACGGCCACAUUGGAACUGAGACACGGUCCAGACUCCUACGGGAGGCAGCAGUGGGGAAUCUUCCGCAAUGGGCGAAAGCCUGACGGAGCAACGCCGCGUGAGUGAAGAAGGGUUUCGGCUCGUAAAGCUCUUUUGACGGGGAAGAUGAUGACGGUACCCGUAGAAUAAGCACCGGCUAACUCUGUGCCAGCAGCCGCGGUAAUACAGAGGGUGCAAGCGUUGUUCGGAAUUACUGGGCGUAAAGGGCGUGUAGGCGGUUUAAUAAGUCAGAUGUUAAAGACCCGGGCUUAACCUGGGGGCUGCGUUUGAUACUGUUAGGCUAGAGAGCAGGAGGGGAGAAUGGAAUUUCCGGUGUAGAGGUAAAAUUCGUAGAUAUCGGAAGGAACACCAGUGGCGAAGGCGAUUCUCUGGACUGCAACUGACGCUGAGGCGCGAAAGCGUGGGGAGCAAACAGGAUUAGAUACCCUGGUAGUCCACGCUGUAAACGAUGAGUGCUAGGUGCGGGUUUUUAGGAAUCCGUGCCGCCGCAAACGCAAUAAGCACUCCGCCUGGGGAGUACGGUCGCAAGAUUAAAACUCAAAGGAAUUGACGGGGACCCGCACAAGCGGUGGAGCAUGUGGUUUAAUUCGAAGCAACGCGAAGAACCUUACCCGCUUUUGACAUAGGGAUCGAGAGGCUAAGAGAUUAGUUUUGUCGGUUCGGCCGGAUCCUAUACAGGUGCUGCAUGGCUGUCGUCAGCUCGUGUCGUGAGACGUUGGGUUAAGUCCCGCAACGAGCGCAACCCCUAUACAUAAUUGCCAUCAUUAAGUUGGGCACUUUAUGUAAACUGCCACUGAUAAAGUGGAGGAAGGUGGGGAUGACGUCAAGUCCUCAUGGCCCUUAUGGGCGGGGCAACACACGUGCUACAAUGGUGGUGACAAAGAGAAGCGAAGGGGCGACCCGGAGCAAACCUCGAAAAGCCAUCUCAGUUCGGAUUGCACUCUGCAACUCGAGUGCAUGAAGUUGGAAUCGCUAGUAAUCGCGGAUCAGCAUGCCGCGGUGAAUACGUUCUCGGGUCUUGUACACACCGCCCGUCACACCAUGGGAGUUGAUUUUACCUUAAGCCGGUGAGCUAACUCGCAAGAGAGGCAGCCGAUCACGGUGGGGUCGAUGACUGGGGUGAAGUCGUAACAAGGUAACC